Molecule: ribosomal RNA, 468 nt
Filed under: uncultured bacterium
Lineage: Bacteria
Description: partial 16S ribosomal RNA
Rfam family: Bacterial small subunit ribosomal RNA
Source: RNAcentral
GACGAACGCUGGCGGCGUGCUUAACACAUGCAAGUCGAACGGAAAGGCCCUGCUUUUGUGGGGUGCUCGAGUGGCGAACGGGUGAGUAACACGUGAGUAACCUGCCCUUGACUUUGGGAUAACUUCAGGAAACUGGGGCUAAUACCGGGUAGGAGCUCCUGCUGCAUGGUGGGGGUUGGAAAGUUUCGGCGGUUGGGGAUGGACUCGCGGCUUAUCAGCUUGUUGGUGGGGUAGUGGCUUACCAAGGCUUUGACGGGUAGCCGGCCUGAGAGGGUGACCGGCCACAUUGGGACUGAGAUACGGCCCAGACUCCUACGGGAGGCAGCAGUGGGGAAUAUUGCACAAUGGGCGGAAGCCUGAUGCAGCAACGCCGCGUGCGGGAUGACGGCUUUCGGGUUGUAAACCGCUUUCGCCUGUGACGAAGCGUGAGUGACGGUAAUGGGUAAAGAAGCACCGGCUAACUACGUG